RNAcentral lists this unclassified non-coding RNA (70 nucleotides) under Candidatus Kentrum sp. MB. Lineage: Bacteria; Pseudomonadati; Pseudomonadota; Gammaproteobacteria. The record is from RNAcentral.
UCGAUCCGUGUGCGAGAGAACCGCACGCACGAUUCGGAGGUAGGGGCGGGUAUACCGCCCCUACCUCUAU